Molecule: long non-coding RNA, 5835 nt
Filed under: Salmo salar (Atlantic salmon)
Lineage: Eukaryota; Metazoa; Chordata; Actinopteri; Salmoniformes; Salmonidae
Description: lncRNA (ENSSSAG00000097271.1)
Source: RNAcentral
AGCCAGAUGAAAGAACACAAUGUUUUCAGCCUUCCAAUGACCAUGCAGCAGCGCUGCGGUAUGGGUACGGGCUCUCAUCAAGUGCCCUCUUGUGACAGUUUAGAUUUUAAUAGGAGUUGAUAAGACAGCACAAACAUACUGUAUCAAUAUAGCUCCUCAGAUCUAGGAUCAUAAUGAAUGGACAGGGUCAGCACUAUGAGAUACUGAAUGAACACAGAUCUCUCCUCUGCACCAUGUUAGUCUCACGGUGUCUACAUCUGACAACACAUGUAUCAUUCCAGAGCUGCCUAUGUAAUGAUGACUCGGUCUGUGUCUCACUCGCUCUCUCUCUCUCGCUCUCUCUCUCUCUCUCUCUCACUCACUCACUCACUCACUCACUCACUCACUCACUCACUCACUCACUCACUCACUCACUCACUCACUCACUCACUCACUCACACAGAGCGAGAUAUUCCAACUAAAUGUUUUUUUUUUUUCUCCACCUUUAUUUAACCAGAUAGGCUAGUUGAGAACAAGUUCUCAUUUACAACUGCGACCUGGCCAAGAUAAAGCAUAGCAAUUCGACACUAAACAGUGUCCAAAGAGGGGCCAGAAGUAUACAGAAUGGUGUCGUCUGCGUAGAGGUGGAUCAGAGAAUCACCAGCAGCAAGAGCAACAUCAUUGAUGUAUACAGAGAAGAGAGUCUGUAUACAGAGAAGAGAGUCGGCCCGAGAAUUUAACCCUGUGGCACCCCCAUAGAGACUGCCAGAGGUCCGGACAACAGGCCCUCCGAUUUGACACACUGAACCAGGCGAGGCAAUCAUUUGAGAAACCAAGGCUGUCGAGUCUGCCAAUAAGAAUGUGGUGAUUGACAGAGUUAAAAGCCUUGGCCAAGUCGAUGAAUACGGCUGCACAGUAAUGUCUCUUAUUGAUGGCGGUUAUGAUGUCGUUUAGGACCUUGAGCGUGGCUGAGGUGCACCUAUGACCAGCUCUGAAACCAGAUUGCAUAGCGGAGAAGGUACGGUGGGAUUCGAAAUGGUCGGUAAUCUGUUUGUUAACUUGGCUUUCGAAGACCUUAGAAAGACAGGGUAGGAUGGAUAUAGGUCUGUAGCAGUUUGGGUCUAGAGUGUCACUCCCUUUGAAGAGGGGGAUGACCGCGGCAGCUUUCCAAUCUUUAGGAAUCUCAGAUGAUACGAAAGAGAGGUUGAACAGGCUAGUAAUAGGGGUUGCAACAAUUUCGGCAGAUCAUUUUAGAAAGAGAGGGUCCAGAUUGUCUAGCCCGGCUGAUUUGUAUGGGUCCAGAUUUUGCAGCUCUUUCAGAACAUCAGCUAUCUGGAUUUGGGUGAAGGAGAAAUGGUGUCGGCUUUGGCGGUUGCUGUGGACGGUGCCGGGCAGUUAACCGGGGUAGGGGUAGCCAGGUGGAAAGCAUGGCCAGCCGUAGAGAAAUGCUUGUUGAAAUUCAAUAUCUCUGGUGACAGUGUUUCCUAGCCUCAGUGCAGUGGGCAGCUGGGAGGAGGUGCUCUUAUUCUCCAUGGACUUUACAGUGUCCCAGAACUUUUUUGAGUUAGUACUACAGGAUGUAAAUUUCUGUUUGAAAAAGAUAGCCUUAGCUUUUCUAACUGCCUGUGUAUAUUUGUUCCUAACUUCCCUGAAAAGUUGCAUGUCACGUGGGCUAUUCGAUGCUAAUGCAGAACGCCACAGGAUGUUUUUGUGCUGGUCACGGGCAGACAGGUCUGGAGUGAACCAAGGACUAUAUCUAUUCCUAGUUCUAGAUUUUUUGAAUGGGGCAUGCUUAUUUAAGAUGGUGAGGAAGGCACUUUUAAAGAAUAGCCAGGCAUCAUCUACUGACGGUAUGAGGUCAAUGUCAUUCCAGGAUACCCUGGCCAGGUCGAUUAGAAAGGCCUGCUCGCAGAAGUGUUUUAGGGAGCAUUUGACAGUGAUGAGGGGUGGUCGUUUGGUCGCAGACCCAUUACGGAUGCAGGCAAUGAGGCAGUGAUCGCUGAGAUCUUGAUUGAAAACAGCAGAGGUGUAUUUGGAGGGCGAGUUAGUUAGGAUGAUAUCUAUGAGGGUGCCCGUGUUUACGGAUUUGGGGUUGUACCUGGUAGGUUCAUUGAUAAUUUGUGUGAGAUUGAGGGCAUCAAGCUUAGAUUGUAGGACGGCUGGGUUGUUAAGCAUGUCCCAGUUUAGGUCACCUAGUAGCACGAGCUCAGAAGAUAGAUGGGGGCAAUCAACUAACAUAUGGUAUCGAGGGCACAGCUGGGGGCAGAGGGAGGUCUAUAGCAAGCGGCAACAGUGAGAGACUUGUUUCUGGAAAGGUGAAUUUUUAGAAGUAGAAGCUCGAAUUGUUUGGGUACAGACUUGUAUAGUAAUACAGAACUGCAGGCUAUCUUUGCAGUAGAUUGCAACACCGCCCCCUUUGGCAGUUCUAUCUUGGCGGAAAAUGUUAUAGUUAGUUUUCCUAAGUCAGGAUUCAGACACGGCGAAGACAUCCGGGUUGGCUGAGUGUGCUAAAGCAGUGAGUAAAACAAACUUAGGGGGUAGGCUUCUAAUGUUAACAUGCAUGAAACCAAGGCUUUUACGGUUACAGAAGUCAACAAAUGAGAGCACCUGUGGAGUGGGAGUGGAGCUAGGCACUGCAGGACCUGGAUUAACCUCCACAUCACCAGAGGAAUAGAGGAGAAGUAGGAUAAGGGUACGGCUAAAGGCUAUACGAACUGGCCGUCUAGCACAUUUGGAACAGAGAGUAAAAGGAGCAGGUUUCUGGGCACGAUAGCAUAGAUUCAAGGCAUAAUGUACAGACAAAGGUAAUGUAGGAUGUGAGUACAUUGGAGGUAAACCUAGGCAUUGAGUAAUGAUGAGAGAGAUAUAGUCUCUAGAGACGUUUAAACCAGGUGAUGUUAUCGCAUAUGUAGGAGGUGGAACAACAUGGUUGGUUAAGGCAUAUUGAGCAGGGCUAAAGGCUCUACAGUGAAAUAAGACAGUAAUCACUAACCAGGACAGUAAUGGACGAGGCAUAUUGCUAUUAGAGAGAGGCAUGCGUAGCCAAGUGAACAUAUGGGUCCAGUGAUUGGUUGGGCUGACUGGGGACACGGCGAUUCAGACAGUUAGCAGGUCGAUGCUAACAGUUAGUAGGCCGGGGUUAAACAAGCUAGCAAUUAGCAGACUGGGGCUGGCAAGCUAGCAGUUAGCAUACCGGGUUAGCAAGUUAGCCUUUGGGGGAAGUCGCGAUGGGGGUAAGUCUGUUUUUGCCUCUUCGUGCGGUGACGUCGAUAGACCAGUCGUGGAAUUAGUAGGGUUCCAAGUAGCUCUAGAUAGCUAGCAGGCCGGUUAGCAGAAUGGGCCUUCAGUGGACGUCGCGCCUGAGGGGCCUGUUGGAAUCAAAUGGUUGAUUAAACAUGGCUGACUGAGAUAUGGAGGAGGUAUGGAGGAGGAGGUACGGAGGAGAUAUGGAGGAGGAGGUACGGAGGAGAUAUGGAGGAGAUAUGGAGGAGGAGGUACUGAGGAGAUAUGGAGGAGAUAUGGAGGAGGAGGUACAGAUGAGGAGGAGGUAUGGAGGAGGUAUGGAGGAGAUACAGAGAAGAUAUGGAGGAGGAGGUACAGAGGAGGAGGUAUGGAGGAGAUAUGGAGGAGGAGGUACGGAGGAGAUAUGGAGGAGAUAUGGAGGAGAUAUGGAGGAGAUACGGAGGAGGUAUGGAAGAGGAGAGAUGGAGGAGGAGGUAUGGAAGAGGAGGAGGAGGUAUAGAGGAGGUAUGGAGGAGGAGAUACGGAGGAGAUAUGGAGGAGGAGGUAUGGAGGAGGAGGAGGUAUGGAGGAGGUACGAGGAGAAAUGGAGGAGGAGAGAUGGAGGAGGAGGAGGUAUAGAGGAGGAGGUACGGAGGAAAUACAAAGGAGUAGGAGGUAUGGAGGAGGUACAGAGGAGAAAUGGAGGCGGAGGUAUGGAGGAGGUACAGAGAAGAUAUGGAGGAGGAGAUAUGGAGGUACAGAGAAGGAGGAGGUAUGGAGGAGGUACAGAGGAGGAGGAGGUAUGGAGGAGGUACGGAGGAGGAGGAGGUAUGGAGGAGGUACAGAGGAGGAGGAGGUGUGGAGGAGGUACGGAGGAGAAAUGGAGGAGGAGGUAUGGAGGAGGUAUGGAGGAGGAGGUACGGAGGAGGUACAGAGGAGGAGGAGGUAUGGAGGAGGAGGUAUGGAGGAGGAGGUAUGGAGGAGGAGGAUGCAUGGAGGAGGUGCAGAGGAGGAGGAGGUAUAGAGGAGGUAUGGAGGAGAAAUGGAGGAGGAGGUACAGAGAAGAUAUGGAGGAGGAGAUAUGGAGGAGUAUGGAGGAGGUACAGAGAAGGAGGAGGUAUGGAGGAGGUACAGAUGAGGAGGAGGUAUGAAGGAGGUAUGGAGGAGGUAUGGAGGAGGUACAGAGAAGAUAUAGAGGAGGAGAUAUGGAGGAGGUAUGGAGGAGAUAUAGAGGAGAUAUAGAGGAGGAGAUAUGGAGGAGGUAUGGAGGAGAUAUAGAGGAGAUAUAGAGGAGGAGGUACGGGGGAGGUAGAGGAGGAGGAGGAAUGGAGGAGAAGAUAUGGAGGAGGAGGUAUGGAGGAGAUAUAGAGGAGGAGGUACGGAGGAGGAGGUACAGAGGAGGAGUUAUGGAGGAGGUAUGGAGGCGAUAUAGAGGAGGAGGUAUGGAGGAGAUAAAGAGGAGAUAUGGAGGAGGUAUGGAGGAGAUAAAGAGGAGAUAUGGAGGAGGUAAAGAGGAGAUAUGGAGGAGGUAAAGAGGAGAUAUGGAUGAGGUAAGGAGGAGGUAUGGAGGAGGAGGUAUGGAGGAGGAGGUAUGGAGGAGGUAAAGAGGAGGUAUGGAGGAGGAGGUAUGGAGGAGGUAAAGAGGAGGUAUGGAGGAGGAGGUAUGGAGGAGGAGGUAUGGAGGAGAUAAGGAGGAGAUAUGGAGGAGGUAAAGAGGAGAUAUGGAGGAGGUAUGGAGGAGGAGGUAGGGAGGAGGUAGGGAGGAGGAGACAUAGAGGUUUGGAGGAGGUUUGGAGGAGAUAUGGAGGAGGAGGUACGGAGGAGGUACAGAGGAGGAGAAAUGGACGAGGAGAAAUGAGGAGGAGGUAUGGAGGAGGUACGGAGGAGAAAUGGAGGAGGAGAUACGGAGGAGGUAUGGAGGAGGUACGGAGGAGAUAGGGAGGAGACAUAGAGGAGGUUUGGAGGAGGAGAUACGGAGGAGGAGGUACGGAGGAGGAAUGGAGGAGGUACGGAGGAGGAAGGUCAUGGCUGGUCAUGGCUCACAUCAACACCAUCAUGCCGGAAACCCUAGAUCCACUCCAAUUCGCAUACCACCCAAACAGAUCCACAGAUGAUGCAAUGUCUACUGCACUCCCCACUGCCCUUUCCCACCUGGACAAAAGGAACAUCUAUGUGAGAAUGCUGUUCAUUGACUACAGCUCAGCGUUCAACACCAUAGUGCCCUCCAAACUCAUCACUAAGCUAAGGACCCUGGGACUAAACACCUCCCUCUGCAACUGGAACCUGGACUUCCUGACGGGCCGCCCCCAGGUGGUGAGCUAGCUAGCAGAACAGGUACCACUCCUCCUCCUCCUCCUCCUCCAUAAACACAGAGGGGUGGUGAGGAGAGGACCAGCUAGCUAGCAGAACAGGUACCACUCCUCCUCCUCCUCCUCCAUAAACACAGAGGGGUGGUGAGGAGAGGACCAGCUAGCUAGCAGAACAGGUACCACUCCUCCUCCUCCUCCUCCUCCAUAAACACAGAGGGGUGGUGAGGAGAGGACCAGCUAGCUAGCAGAACAGGUACCACUCCUCCUCCUCCUCCUCCAUAAACACAGAGGGGUGGUGAGGAGAGGACCAGCUAGCUAGCAGAAC